RNAcentral lists this ribosomal RNA (200 nucleotides) under uncultured Desulfobacteraceae bacterium. Its description in RNAcentral is "partial 16S ribosomal RNA". It matches the Rfam family "Bacterial small subunit ribosomal RNA", at positions 1183 to 1382 of the family's 1533-position model. The record is from RNAcentral. Lineage: Bacteria; Pseudomonadati; Thermodesulfobacteriota; Desulfobacteria; Desulfobacterales; Desulfobacteraceae.
UGUCAAGUCCUCAUGGCCUUUAUAUCCAGGGCUACACACGUGCUACAAUGGGCUGUACAAAAGGUUGCGAACCCGCGAGGGUAAGCCAAUCCUAUAAAGCAGUUCUAAGUUCGGAUUGGAGUCUGCAACUCGACUGCGUGAAGUCGGAAUCGCUAGUAAUCGUGGAUCAGCAUGUCACGGUGAAUACGUUCCCGGGUCUU